AAGGCCUUAGUUUAAGUAAAAUGUCUGGUUUGCAUCCAGGUGAUGCGGGUUAGUGUCCCGUAGGUUUUA
Molecule: transfer RNA, 69 nt
Filed under: Psilorhynchus balitora (Balitora minnow)
Lineage: Eukaryota; Metazoa; Chordata; Actinopteri; Cypriniformes; Psilorhynchidae
Description: tRNA-Ala
Rfam family: tRNA
About the family: Transfer RNA (tRNA) molecules are approximately 80 nucleotides in length. Their secondary structure includes four short double-helical elements and three loops (D, anti-codon, and T loops).
Source: RNAcentral